UGUUAAGGAUUUUCUGGAGAUCGGAUAGGAGAUUGAGGUGCUGUGAAGGUGAGGUAUGAAGGUUGUUCUUGCGGUUAUGAAGCUGUGUACGGAGAUUGAACAGAUGAAGAUUGCUGCGAUUUUGAGAAGGUGAUGAAGAUGAAGAAAUUGAAGUGAGGGAUGAAGGUGAUGAUGAUGGAUUCAAGAAGAAGAUGGAAAUGGAGAUGAAUGCGAAUGGUGGAUGCAGAAUCGAAAUGGUGGGAGAUGAAGAGAGAGUUGAAGACUGAGAGAAGAUGUGUGUGAAUUAUGGAGAAUCCAGAGAGAGCCUUCUGAGUGAUGAAGAUGAUAUAUAUAAGGGCUGAUAGUGAACCUGGGAACUGGUUUUCAACACAUUUAAGCAAAGUGUUCAAAGAGCCCAUGUUAUAUUGCUUGGUCAUGAAGAAUAAUCAAAGACCAUGAGGUCAGGAUGGAGCACAGUUGUUAGAAGUGUGGCAACCUGGAGUUUUCUCUUGGCUGUAGGUUUAGGGCAGCAACUUGACUUGGUCCACGGUUUGACCAAAAGGUCAACAGUUGACCAAAGUCAACUAUUGGUCAAACACAAAAUCUUUUGUAAUUUUCUCUUCUAAUUCUUGUCAUGUGUUCUAGAACUAUAUGAUGGGUUCUAAACUCUUGUAAUGAGACUUGAAUUUUUAUUGUAUAUUCUUGUAGAACUUGUUAGAA
Long non-coding RNA from Vicia villosa (hairy vetch), 699 nucleotides. RefSeq lists it as uncharacterized. The transcript is spliced from 2 exons. The record is from RefSeq and is a predicted model, not a curated record. NCBI's taxonomy places the organism in Eukaryota, Viridiplantae, Streptophyta, Magnoliopsida, Fabales, Fabaceae.